Molecule: long non-coding RNA, 248 nt
Filed under: Helianthus annuus (common sunflower)
Lineage: Eukaryota; Viridiplantae; Streptophyta; Magnoliopsida; Asterales; Asteraceae
Description: sRNA HanXRQr2_Chr10g0448961
Source: RNAcentral
UAUCUUGAAACCUGCGAUCCCUCUCCCUCUUUCUUUGUGGAUGUAAAGCAACCCAAGAACGCUAACUCAUCAGUUUCAAGUUCCUAGCGACUCCUCGCAAUCGUAUAACUUGGACGAGAUUGACAAUCUUGAUGAAUUUUCAAGUCAGUAGGUACAGCUGUGGACAGGCGUUGCAAGCUGCUGGAGUGGUGUGGUUCGUUAAAACUUUAUGUUUUGAAACACUUAUUAAACUUAUGGUUUUUCUUUAA